RNAcentral lists this long non-coding RNA (785 nucleotides) under Brachypodium distachyon (stiff brome). RNAcentral describes it as "long non-coding RNA (BDIS_LNC001824)". Lineage: Eukaryota; Viridiplantae; Streptophyta; Magnoliopsida; Poales; Poaceae. The record is from RNAcentral.
CCCCAUAUUCCUGGAGAAGCUGUACUAAAUUUUUUGCUAGAUUUCCAAAUUAGCUUAGCCUAAGUUAAUUUGAAAGCCCGGCAAAUUUUACAUGCGGCUUCUCCAGGAAGCUGGGGGGAGAGUAGCUUCUCAGAGAAGCCCAUCCUGAAAGCCGAAAAGAAUUGUGCCUAAGUAUCACAGUUUUGAACUAUCCUUGAACUAGGCUUACAGUUCAAAACUGAGAGACUUUUUUGGACCGGACCCAGUAAGAGCUAAAACUGAGAGCGAAAAAUGAAAAGUUUAGAAAUUAUAAUCUCCAAAAAAAAGAAAAACGUAAAAUUAAGGGUUGAAUAAAAAGCAGGAAAAGGAAACACUCAUUCCGAUAGCCCCAAAACAUUAUGCAUUCGUCCGUCAAAAGCCCUCUGGGCGGAACUCCAAGUCGCAGAUAUUACGUUUCUGUUAGUUAAAAUUGUAUGCAGUACCCUCUGUAAAUAUGGAGGUGGGACAUUGUUGUCAUUGCCUUCCUGACUUGAAAUACCUGCUCUCGUGUAGUUCUUUCCAUCGAUCAACAGGUGAAGAUCAAAUAGUAUGAAGGGGAGCAGCAGCAACAUGGCUACAUGGGUACAUAGGUACGUACGUGAUCACUGUUCAUGUUCAUCAGGUCGAUCGGCAUAUUUUGCACAUCUUGUUCGCUGGUCGGUGAUGCUUCUCCUGACAAUGACAAAACAAAACAAGAAAAAUUCAUGUGAGAUAUAAAGCUUAUCGAGUGAGACAAUAUUUCAAGUACUGUAAUAAGCCAUAGUAGC